This 65-nucleotide transfer RNA is filed under the name Calliopsida cinnabarina. RNAcentral describes it as "tRNA-Leu". The record is from RNAcentral. Lineage: Eukaryota; Metazoa; Arthropoda; Insecta; Hemiptera; Cicadidae.
UCUAAUAUGGCAGAAUAGUGCAAUGAAUUUAAGCUUCGUAUAUAAAAAUAUAUUUUUUAUUAGAA